UAAAAGCUAAAUUAUAUGAAACAAUCGUUUAUCUCUUGAAGCUUAAGCUAUUGGUGAUCAUAAGCGGUGGUUUUGCAUAAUUUAAUAUGAUAUCAGAGAAUAAAUAUUUUUAUAUCUUUAUAUUUAACAUUUUCUCUCACGUCUGGACUUAAGACUUUUUGAUAGGCCCGAUCACAUGUACUUAAAUUAAAUAGAAGAAAAUUAAUUAUAUUAGAAGGCUAGCAGGACGCGAACUGAAAACCUCCAUCUCUGAUAUCAUGUGAUAUUAUAUGAAACAACCGUUGACGGUAAGACAUCAUGGAUAAGAUGUAGGAGGAUC
This 319-nucleotide long non-coding RNA is filed under the name Ananas comosus (pineapple). RNAcentral describes it as "long non-coding RNA (ACOM_LNC019063)". The record is from RNAcentral. Lineage: Eukaryota; Viridiplantae; Streptophyta; Magnoliopsida; Poales; Bromeliaceae.